Papaver somniferum (opium poppy) is the source of this 1701-nucleotide long non-coding RNA. RefSeq lists it as uncharacterized. NCBI's taxonomy places the organism in Eukaryota, Viridiplantae, Streptophyta, Magnoliopsida, Ranunculales, Papaveraceae. The transcript has 4 exons. The record is from RefSeq and is a predicted model, not a curated record.
AAAUACUAUCUCUACUCGCGAGAUCUUAUUCUUUCUACAUUCUCUUAUCAAAGUAUUGUACAAUGUUCUCUGCAAAUCGUAAAAAUUAAUUUUACGCCGGAUCUUAAAUCAGUGCUCAAUUAUGAAUGGUGAAUCUAUGAUCAGAGAAAUGAAGAAAGAAAAAAGAAGACAAUAAUUGAUGAACCCAUCACAAAAGAGAAAAUUAUUAUGAUUUACGUUUCCUAAAUCAUGUUCCAGAAAUUUUAAGAACCACUUUUAAUAAUCAAAUAUCUCAAACCAAAUCAAUGAAGAAACACAUUGAUUUUCUAUCCUUGUGAUGAAUAUGUUGCUUCAUUCUUCCUUAAAAUCUGUUACUAUUCUCAACCUCUUGAAAACCCAUGUUGAGAAAUAUGAAUCAAAAUUUAUACCUAACUGAUUAAUCUCGUAAGCCAAUUUCAACAGCAGCAGAAUCAGUUUUAUCACAGUCUUCGAUCUAAUCUCAGUUGAUAGUUGAUAUUAGGUUGAAACCCAAUUUCAAAUUUAUUCUGAAAAGGCUAUGUUAGUCAUUGGAACAGUUGGACAGGGAGAAGAACAUAUCCUCAGGAACAAAGAGUUUUCCUUUUACUUAUUUAUUUCGUUAAAUAAGAAUUCAACGAAAAGAUAAUAUAUUGUUAAAAUAUAAUCCACGUGGCGUCCUGUGAGUGGCCGGGACAGGGGCACAGGGGGAUUUCAGGGGACAGACGAUCUGCACCCGCUUUUGAUUUACUUCUCAACUUCUUUUCUGUCAGUGUUAUUCUUUUCGGUUCAUCCUUCUUCUAUGAUGUAGCUCCUCGAAUUAAGGGUCUUCAAGGAAGAGAAGCAGAUUGGGGUUGGUGGUUGAUCUCACCAGGCAGUUCCACUUUCUACUCAAUAAGAAUAACACUUUCACUGAGGAUGCACCUUUUGGAACUAUCGGUGAUAUGGCUAGCAUGAGGCCAACUUAGCGCUGACUUAUAGGAAAAUUAGGGGAUCGACAUGAGGCAGUAUAAGCAAUGACGAUGGGUGUCAGACGACUAACUUCCGUAGAAGGUAAUUUUCCUGCUGCCUCCUACAGGGAAUACAUUUCUUCAGAGGUGAAGAAUUUCGCUCGACGGUGUCAUGGUAACCUCCAACAUCUACAUCUGGAGAACGAAAACCUAGGUAUCAUAAUCGUAAAGUGAGUUGGAACGGCAUCAGUAUGCAACAAUCCAGCGAGGCAUAGUUUUUAAAAUCGUGCGAUUCGCUUCAAAUCGCAUGGAAGAAUUGAAUCUUCCCAGAAUCGUAUAGAUUCGGUAUUUUAUGCGAUUGUGACCUUGAAAUUCGUUUGACCACUCAAGUUUCUUCACUAUUUAAAAACAUACGCCCCAAGGAGUUUCGAACUACUAUCAUACCGCCUGUUGCCAUCUCACUGUAACCAAUUGUGCUGUGACUUGGCUUGGCGAUAAUGAGGAGAUUUUAAUUGAUUUAUCCACUUUCUCAUAAAACAUUUAAGCUUGAAUUUUAAUUCUUGUCAUUUCUCUUUUACUAAACGCAACAACAAUCAAGUUGCAGAUAGUAUUGUGAAUUCUGUGAGAGAGACAGCUAUGCAUGUUUAUCACACUAGUAAUUUCCCUGAAUAUCUUUGUAGCCUAUGGAAAAGGAUUUACACAAUCCUGUUACUUAAGCAAUAAAAUUUUACUUUAUUACAAAAAAAAAAAAAAAAAA